UUUUUUUUUUUUUAAAGUGAGUUUGUGAAUGCAAAUAUAAAGUAAACAAUAUAAAUAGCCAGUGAAAGAUGCUCCAUUUAAAGGGAAAUGAGCAUGCUUAAAAUAGCUGGGUUUUCAGGGCAUGUUGUAACUCAAAAAUAACUUUCAGAGUCACUACCACUGACCAUCUGCAAAACGGACAAAAGAUAGCUAACAGCUUAAACAUUUUCUAGAAUAAGUAAAUAAAGUAAAUAAAACCAACAAAACCCACAAAGCUGCACACAGAGGGAGUGAAACAAAAAUAUUAAAGCAUAGCAAAUGGGAAGCUGGAAUUUUGAAGAAACACAGAGAAACCUAAAACAGGAGACAGGGGGGAAAAAAAAAAAAAAAAAAAAACCAAAAAACCAACCCUGUGCUAUCAGAGCCAAAAAUCAGUGGAGGAAGAAAUCAGAAAUUUCAGUCAAGAAAAAACAUCCAAAACACUGUAUGAAGAAAUGCCUCAAAAAAGUACCAGCCCCACCAUUAAAAAAGUAAUGAGCUCAGACUGCUGAAAAACCCAAAACCAAGUCACGGGGCCAGACAACAUAACAAGACCUUUCCCACUCUAGCAAAUGCACAGCUUGUAUAAAUUGUCUUACAUCAAAAAAUGGUACAGGUCUGUUCCUACAGAUUUCAUGAAAGAAUGUCUUCCUUCCCUAGGAAUAACUAAACACAGGUUAAGUAUCUUGAAGUAGAAGCGCCACUCAUGCAAGUUGAACAGCUGUUUAACAUUGAGUUUUAAUAGAAAAGAAAGCAGAACAAAGACCAAAACCAUACUAAAAAAUAUUCAAUCCAGUUGUGUGAAACUGAAGAAGAAUUCAUACUGCAGUUUCCAUAUCUCUUAAGAUUAUUUUCAAUAGAGGAAGGAGAAAACCAACAUGCCAGUUGAAAAACUUUACUCACAAAAUAAGAGAAAAAAUACCCACAGGAACAGCUAAGGGCACAUCAGAGUUAUAUGCCACCAACAUUCUUGCAAAGCAAAUCAGAUUUUACUACCUUGAUUUCUGCACAGAGACAAAGAAUUCCCUUUAGCUGAUUGGCCUUUCUCUCUGGGGAAGAAAUUCAUUUCAAUGAAUACCAAUCCAUUUCAAAGGUUCUCAUUGUUUAAGGUUUUUUUGAGAACACAGAAGAUGUCUCUGUGAAAAAGCUUUGUAUCUCUUAUUUGAAAUCUUCAUGGAAAUUUGACACUGAAAACCUUGUAAUUGGUAUAAGGAGGCACUGGUUCUUCUGUAGUUAAGGUGAUGAUUUCCUUUAAAAGGCUUUAUUGACAAAUGUUUUUUACCAGUCUCAGUCAUCUCUGAGAUUCACCAGUGGAGAAUCUUGUGUAGGUGAGAAGAUUUUGGAGAGAAAACAUUUUGAUGGGGACACUGGUUAACUCUAUGCACUAAGACUCUACAGCGUGAGCUAAAACAGAGAUGCAGGUAACACGUCAGUGCUUAUCUCCCGUCCAUCCCAAAAUUAGGAAAUUUCACCAAGAGCAGGAAGAACUUGAAAGUUAUCACCACACUAACAUGAGGUGAAAUAGAGCAGUAUGAAGUCCUCAAGAUUUUGGGGAAGAAAAGGAUAGAUAAAGAAGGCAGUUGUCUCUACCGAAAAGACUCUCAGUGUACUAUCAUGCCUAUGAAGAUACUCACCCUUCUACAGGGAACAGGUCUUUGUAAGGAAUUUAUCAGCCUUUUAUUAAUCACUCAUUGGCAUGAGCAGCACUAUUACAGACCUUCUCCAGGCUGUAAUCCCAGAUAAACAAACCACACCCAGUAAAGCCAAGAUUUUCAAAAACAGAUGCAUAAAGCCCAUGACUGAGGACCCAAACAUAUCGCCUGAUUUUUAAAAGGGCUUAAAGUCCACUGGUAGGCAUUUAUAUAAAAGAGGACAUACUGGGUGUUCAGCCCUUCAUAAAUCUGAUCAGUGUUGGAUAUUCAGCUGACCCUAUAGGCUUGCGAUAGUUGAUACUCUCAUGCAAUGAUACGGUUGUCCUUUCUUGCUUCUGUAUCACAAUGCCAGAAAAGGUAGGUUGGAAUAACUCCAAAUGCACAAGUACAUUGUGGAGCCUGCAUCUGAACGUGCUGUUUAUGCUUGGAAACGCUCAGUGAACAGGCAAGCAACAGGGCAAUGCUGCCAGCUCAGACAAAACUAACUCAUCUUCCUUGGAAGUUUACCCCUGGUUUGUGCAUUUGAACAAGGGAAAAAGGAGUAUCAGGGACCCAUCAUGGCAGAUAAAGUUAUCAUGAUUACACAUAACAGCAGUCAUGAUGUUGUUACUUCUUCACAUACAGAUGGGAGAAGUGAAGGAAAGGUCCUCAACUUUCAGACACCACAGCCAGUAUUGCUAAUAGAGUACACUGUGGCACUUAGUUACAUUGAGACUGUCUGUGGAUGUUAUCAAUCCCAGCUAAAUUCUACAUGCCCAGUGGCAUCUGUGACAGUCAAGUGUGUAUGAACAGUUUGCUGGAAAUGGUCCCUGGACCUUUUGAGCUGCAAGCUGUGUCCAGGAACAGCUUGGGGGAAAAUGCUAGUUGGAGUGGGCCAAAUCUACGGCAAGGAAGGCUCUAACACUCUGACCACAAGCAUCCGCCCAGUAGCUAGGAAUGUUCCGCUUGAAUUUCAUAGCAUAGAUGCAGUUAUAGAGUCUGUCUAGACUGCUCUUGAGGCAGGUAACAGGAGAUGUACAAGGCCACAAAAGUGUAUACAGGCUCAGGAACAGUAAUGGAAGUACUUUUGGAGUCAGACAGAAUGGUAAUUCUUUUCCACCUUCAUCAGUAAUAAGAGAACCCUGCUCCAGAUACUUUAGUAGUCUCCCUGCACUGAAAAUUCAGGAACUUCUCUCUCCCUUCUAGCCCUGUCCUUAAUGAAUCUUCUUAUUACUCUUGAGAAAAAAAAUGUCUGGUGUUACAGCCAAUCGAAAAACUCUCCAGAGAGAAAUCUGUUUUGAUGAUAAUUUGUGGCACAGGAUCAUGCUGAACGUAUUAUCCACAACUAUCAAAGUACAAAGACAUCAUUAAAACUAGAAAUAACAGCAUAUUCAAAGUGAUCUCAUUUGCUGCUGAUAGAAAAUGUGUGUUUUAUGGAGUGAGAAAGCAGAGAGUAGCAGUGAUUAAAAAUAAAAAGGUUUUUAGCUUGUGAAAAUGGGCUUUGAUGUCUGGAAAAUCCUAGUUCCAUACUGAAAAAUGUUCCUUGCACUGAACUCAGAAACUAAUGCCCAGGCUAAACAGGGCCUGGCCUGAAGUAAAGCAUCUUUCAGGAUGCUUCAUCCACCCAGGACUACAGACAGUGCUCUCAGUUUUCUUCCUAGUACUAACAACUGUCAUGCAGACUUUCCUGAGCACACACUGGCAAAGGCAUGCCUGAGAGACAGAAAGAGAGAAAGAUCUCCACUGUUGACACAAGAAUGUCUCAUUUAUUAUUUGUAGGGAAAGAUUUGGACUCCCACACCAUUUCCAUAGCUCUUGAUAGAUAUUCCUCAAGAGAAUGAAAAGAGAAUGAAAUUUCCUGCUCAGGCUCUGUGCCUCUGUGAGAUAUGGUUUACUUUUUUCAAAGUCAGGUAAGAGAUUUGUUUGAGAUACAGAAUAGACGGGUCAAGCAGAUCUGUGAAGGUGAUUCGUGCAAGCACUUUUAAAUGCUAAUCUGAGUUGCAAAGAGAGAAAUAACUCUCACAAAUGCAUUUACUUCUGCUUGAAGUUUCUAAGUAGCAUGUUAGCCCUGUUGUUUUCUGAAUAUACAUACACACACAUGCACACACAUGCUUAACCCCAUCAUCACAGCCAUGUCAUCACAGCUGUGAGACGAACCAGACAGAUUUCAUUCUCUCUCAAUAUUUAUCAGCACUUCAAUUAUCUAAUUCCCAAUUACUUAGUUUUUAUGACUGAUAGUGAUAAGGCGGGCUCUCCAGCACCCUGCUUGAGUUUGCAGGGCUGACAGUAUAGCAGAAACUAUUCUUGCACUGUUGAAAAAAUCUGUGGCCCAGCCAUUGCUGGAGGAUUCCAGGUUUAAAGUCCCA
This 4015-nucleotide long non-coding RNA is filed under the name Strigops habroptila (Kakapo). RNAcentral's name for it is "lncRNA (ENSSHBG00005020470.1)". Lineage: Eukaryota; Metazoa; Chordata; Aves; Psittaciformes; Psittacidae. The record is from RNAcentral.